Molecule: ribosomal RNA, 427 nt
Filed under: uncultured bacterium
Lineage: Bacteria
Description: partial 16S ribosomal RNA
Rfam family: Bacterial small subunit ribosomal RNA
Source: RNAcentral
UGGGGAAUAUUGGACAAUGGGCGAAAGCCUGAUCCAGCCAUGCCGCGUGUGUGAAGAAGGUCUUCGGAUUGUAAAGCACUUUAAGUUGGGAGGAAGGGCAUUAACCUAAUACGUUAGUGUUUUGACGUUACCGACAGAAUAAGCACCGGCUAACUCUGUGCCAGCAGCCGCGGUAAUACAGAGGGUGCAAGCGUUAAUCGGAAUUACUGGGCGUAAAGCGCGCGUAGGUGGUGUGUUAAGUUGGAUGUGAAAUCCCCGGGCUCAACCUGGGAACUGCAUUCAAAACUGACUGACUAGAGUAUGGUAGAGGGUGGUGGAAUUUCCUGUGUAGCGGUGAAAUGCGUAGAUAUAGGAAGGAACACCAGGGGCGAAGGCGACCACCUGGACUAAUACUGACACUGAGGUGCGAAAGCGUGGGGAGCAAACA